Molecule: non-coding RNA, 106 nt
Organism: Hygrophoropsis aurantiaca
Lineage: Eukaryota; Fungi; Basidiomycota; Agaricomycetes; Boletales; Hygrophoropsidaceae
Source: the annotation of a GenBank genome assembly
UCGGAUAUGGUGUAACGGUCAACAUUGCCGCCUCUCAAAUCACCUUUUCGAUGCUCAACCAUGGGUGUGAUCGCGGCAGCUCGGGGUUCGAUUCCCCGUAUCCGAA